This is a long non-coding RNA of Salvia miltiorrhiza (redroot sage), 556 nucleotides long. RefSeq lists it as uncharacterized. The transcript has 2 exons. NCBI's taxonomy places the organism in Eukaryota, Viridiplantae, Streptophyta, Magnoliopsida, Lamiales, Lamiaceae. The record is from RefSeq and is a predicted model, not a curated record.
UACGCAAUCUCUGUGUUCUCUCUCCUUUAACCAUUUUCUGCCCUUUACCGUCUAUCUCCCCAUCCUUCUCCGGCGGACGUUGCUGGUUCUUGCCGCCUCCGGCGCGACGAUGACGGCGUCUCCCCCCCAUUUUUUCUAUCUUCUCUCUUUCCCCAUCUCAUUAAAUUAAUGCUACCUAGGGUUCUCUCUAAAUUUCCCCCUUCAAUUCCACUUUUCCGGUGAAGUCUGUCGUCGUCGCUGCUACUACCGCCGCCUGAACGUCUCCCUGCCUCAGCCAUCGCAGACCACUCUGGCGCAGGCGGCACUGGCGGUCGCCGCCGUCGGACGCGCCCCAUCGUUGUGGCUCGCAGCUGCUGCUGGUGCGCCCCAUCAGAUCUGCGGACGAAUCCAUGGUGGAUAAGAAAAUGGGAUCUGAAUCUUGAUUUUUUGUGUGUUUUUUAUCUUGAGAUGAAUCGACAGUGGGGGAAGGAAGGAUUGUUGGGAGCGCCCCAUUAUUCAUGUACAAAAUACGAAUUUGAUUGUUUAUGAUUGCGAAAUACUCCCUCCGUCCCUGAAA